This 93-nucleotide transfer RNA is filed under the name Actinocatenispora thailandica. RNAcentral's name for it is "tRNA-Ser". Lineage: Bacteria; Bacillati; Actinomycetota; Actinomycetes; Micromonosporales; Micromonosporaceae. The record is from RNAcentral.
CGACUCGCUGGUCGCGCAGGUGGCGACGUCGCGGUUGCUGUUCGCGAUGGGCCGGGACCGGCAGCUGCCGAGGUUCCUCGCCCGGGUGUCGCC